Non-coding RNA from Nomia melanderi (Alkali bee), 5100 nucleotides. The record is from RefSeq and is a predicted model, not a curated record. NCBI's taxonomy places the organism in Eukaryota, Metazoa, Arthropoda, Insecta, Hymenoptera, Halictidae.
UAUAGGCACAACAUGUGCUUACAAUUUUUCUCCAACAAAUUAUUAAUAACAAAGCAGCCAGUCAGAGUUGAGAAAGAAAUCAUAGGCCAAGGGGUUAAUCAUCAAUUCGUGUAUCAAUGUAUUAUUUAACACGUAGAAUGCCCCACAAUUUCAACGAAAUGAAAAAAUACAAUAUUGAAUUAUUUAAAUAUAAGAAUUUUAUAUUUCAAAUUAUUUACAAUAUAGGAAUGUUUUUUUAAUAAUCAUCGUUUAAUCGAGGGAAUUACAGUAAUCCGAUUUGGGCGUGGGUCACCGGUGACCCACACGGCAUUCAACGUGUUAAUGUACGAAUGCAUCGAUGUAGCGAUUAGCAUCUCGAUAUAUCGAUUGACGCAUGCAUCGUUUAAUCAAUUAUCACAUCGAUCGUUGGCGCGAAACUGACAAUUCUAUUUUGUAACCGUUAAUUAUAUCAAUGUCUCUCGACUUCAUUUUGAUGCCAGGCUAUUCUGUCAAGGAAGAAUCCGAAGAUUCUGGUAAACGAUCCGCCUCGAAUGUUUCACAGGGGACAGAAGUGAAAACAGACAAUUGCAAAUGAGGUUAUGUGUUUCCACGUUUAAUAUCGAGUCGAAGUCAAAACAGAUACUUACGAUGAUGGUCUGUCGGAUACAUAUCAAUAGUGCUUUUAUAAAUGUUGGAAGAGUAUUGGUGACCGGAAAUGCAAUUGAUUAUUGUUAUAUAUUCGGUAGUGGUAACGCGUUCAGUGGAAAAAAUGAAAGUGUCGUAUUUAAGAUUACUUUGGUAAUUACAUAGUACGGUAGAUUUUAUUUAAAAAGUAUAACGGUGUUGAAUAAUCAUUGACAGUCAAUACACAGGCGUAUCUUUAGAUAUCAAGCUUCGAGGAACAAUCGAUUAUCCGAAAAAAAAAAUCUACUCGAUACGAGAACAAUUGAUUUUCUAAAUACAAACGAUACGCGAAAGUAUCUAGAUAAAAUCAUGUUUCAUUGCACCUUUGAUCGCGGUGUUCGAUUACAAUGUAUAGAACAUUGUUCGAUAAUCGCAACUGAAAUACGCCUGAAACGAGAAACGAGAAAUAUCUCGCGUCGUGAUGUACGAUAUAACAGGGUGAAACGAAGGCGGCUCGAUCCGAUCGAUAAUCGAGCUGAGCCUUCUUCACCGAACGUUACAUAUCAAGAUUGUUGCCAAGUGUUUUCUGGGUAUCUGUUAAAGGCGAGAAUUGUAGUAUACUUGAUAAAGAAUUCGAAUGUCCGAUGUAUUUAGCUGCAACUCUGUGAAUCCACGGUCAUUCGGCUCAUACAUAUCAAUACGUUUUCGACAUUUUCCAGGGGCGAGUCGUUGACAUUUAUCGCGUAGCACUUCGUACGCCACAAUCUUUCGUAACUCGAUGAUGAAAGUAGAUCGAUAGUGGCCUUUUUCAUUUUUCGUUGUUGCUGAAAGUCACGGGAAAAGUUGUUGACACUAAUUAAAUUCGAAAUUAUAACCUCUGUUAAAUGUCUCUCCGUUCUAUUAAUCUUUUUGCUAAAUUGAUUUCGUUUAAUCUCAUUUAUUAUAUCAUUAUUAUUUAUUUAACCGAGACGAUUUAAGAAGUCUUCUGUUUAUUGUUCUAUUUAACAUCUGAUUUAAGACGUUGAAUGCAAUAGUUCACUCAAUUAAUGAUUACUUGAAAACAUUUCUAUAUUACAAUAAUGCAAUUCAAUGAUUUAAAAUAACAUGAGUGCUUAACAUUGAAAUUUAUAAGCAUCGUCAUGAAUUCAAUUCUAUAUAACCUUAAUUUUUUGCAAUUAUGCACUGUAAUCCUCGGAGUGAGCAUUUUUCCUAUUUUUUCAUUCAAAUUUUUGCUAUCCGUUGAAAGUGUUGAUAUUUUUUUUAUUUUGUGUAUGUUGCUUUAUAAAGUCGUGCGGCGUUCAACGUGUUAACCGUCGUUCGGUGAGCAAAACAGUGUAAUGGAUUCGAGUAAUCGAAUAAUCGAAUAGAAUCGAUUGUCGGAGGAGCUGUUAAACCGACUAUCUUCAGCGGCAAUAUCUUCAGAUCAUUUAAUUACUUAACUCGGCUCACAAAGGACCGGCCUGUCGAAAUGGAAUAACGACGGCUGAUGGAACGUAAUGUAACUCAACAGGAAACCGACACUUGUCAAUUCCGGCAGAGCGCGAACGCGAUCAUUGAAACGGCUUGCUGCUUCUGUUUCGUGACUUUACACCACUUUACAUCACGGCGGUUAACCGCAUGACAAAAUUAUGCCGGCUUUCAGCAAUACGAGAUGAAUCUGCAAAAGCAAACGGUAUACGUCGCAGUAACGCUUUCACGCAAGUAACGUUCAUUUCAAAUUUAACUUGACACUGGAACUACCGGACGGGUCAAAAUGGCCCAUUCCUGAAUUCCCUUUUUGCAAUUGUUAAAAAGAUAAUUGAUGUUUCUCUGAGAAAUUAUUAAACUGAUGUAGCGCAAACUGAAUUGUAAAUCAAUGGAAAUCAAUGGAUUUUCAAAAAUCUAACUGCUUGGUAGUUUUAGUGUUAACACUAGAACUACCGAGCAUUUAAUUACGGUUAACACGUUCUGUAGGAAAUUUCAUAUUUUCUUAUGAAUUGUAUUAACUUUUUAAAUCAAAUAUUAACCCCUUGACCUGCGAUCGUGUCAAACUCUCGCAGCUAAUUAUUAAUUUUUAAUUUUUUAAUUACUAAUUCUUAAUUUUUUUAAAUUAUCAAUUGAAUAUUACUUUUCUUUUCAAUCGUUAAUCUUUGGAGUAUACAUAGACGUAGAAGCAUCAACGUUCUUCUAAUAAAUUAUUAAUGAUAAAGUAGUUAAGAAAUAAAUCAUAGGGCAAGGGGUAGUUAUAUCCAAAUUUUUAAUAAUUUUUAUAUAUCUUGAUAUUGUUUCUUUAUAUUUUCGAUGCUUUGUAACGUAUACUAUUGUGUCCCUUAAAAAUAUUUUACAAAAAUUCUUGUGUAUAUGUGUUACAUAUGGCACCGAACGUGUUAACCCCUAAAAAAAUGGUAACAGAUUAUUUUUCUUCGUUAUUGUCGAACUAUUUUCGAAAUCAUAUCGAAUAUUCAACGCUUUCAGUAUAUCAAUAAUAAACAAAAUCAAAAGCAGUCACUUUGACUGGUAGUUCUAGUGUUAAGUUGCCCUGUUCGUCUAGCAACGUAGCAAAGAUUGUGACGUACGACAGCACGUCUGCUUGACCGUAUUUUAAGCUGCGAAAUGUGUUCGAAGUACAUUUAAGAACGCACGACGCUUAGAACCCGCGAUAUUUUUCGAUCUCUGUGAAAACAAAUUAUAGGUUAUGGCGAAACGAGGAAAGUACGAAGAGAGAUUUCAGCAGGACAUCGACGGACACGGUUACAUAGACGCAACAUAGGAAUUAUACGUAACGUGUAGCAAUGAUUAAUUGCCCUCCCAUAAAAUGUUCAUUAAGAAGAAAUGUAAACAUCGUCGAACACCUUUCGUAGACUGUAGCCAUCGCGCAGGAACGAUAUCGAAGAAACAUUCACCGAACAGUGUAGAGCUGUAAAAGUAUUCACAUGGAAAGUAAACUGUAUUUUACACCUCGAUAGAUAAUUAACUGUACGACGAUAGGAUUAAGCCAAAAAAUGAACCUCGAUUCGCUAAAAAUCAGAUUUCAGUUGGAACAACCAAAAAUUCCUUUUUUCCCAAAAAGAUAAUAAUCUUAGCAAGAGAACGUGAGCCAACAAUAUUUUCUUUCACACACGACUCUACAGUAGAAUAUAAAGUUUCAUGGAAAUGUAUUGUAUGCUUUUAGGUAUCUCUAUGGAAAAAGUACACUACACUCCUGACUCACAUAGUGGAACAUAUCCCCUAGACGAUCUUAGAACGCGGAAACGGGGUGGUCGUUAAUGACGCUCUCACGCGUCGAAGACGCCCUAUGAACCAUGUCGAGACAUAUCUCUGAUGGCCGUAGUUGUAGUCUCGCCGGCUGCGUUGUUAUUAUUACUAAUUAUUAUAAGCGGUAUUUUUGUACAGUGUCUUACAGUGCUCGGAUCGUUGCAGGCGCAGCCGACGAGCCGUUCACGGCAUAGCCAUAUUAUACAUAAUUAUUACUAUUAUUAUAUAUAUAUAUAUACAUAUACAUAAACAUAUACAUAUACAUAUAGCAUACGUAUAUAUUUAUUUCGAUUGUAACGCGUAAUAAUUGUUAGAACGUUUCUUCGGCGCACUCAUACGCCACGGUACGCGUGUACACAUUGAUAAUCGAACACGGGAAAAUGUAUGGUGUGUGGAACGUAUUGAACGCAAGCGAAAGAGGACACGUUGAAUGAAUAAUGGAGCCUGUCGUUUUGACUCCGUUUCUAUGUUUUUAAUGAGAUUCAACGGUCCGGUGAAUAUAUCCGCUUGAAUAUAUAUAUCUCGGUGCUCUCAUACUUGUUCACGCGUCGAAGACACUGGUUUCGAACUUUUUCACUUUACCGCUAACACACACUAGUGUCGAGCCAACACGGACACAAGAGCAUGUAUGUAUUUACACGUAACGAAAGUAGUCGUACGAGCAUAGGCACGCUUACCAGUGAACUAUAGAGAUACAUAACUACCUACGUAUCGUACCUAUAUGUUACUUUCUUCUGUUAAUUAAGGUUAAGUAAUUCUUGUGUAUAAGAAACACGAUACUCGUAUGGAGAAUAGAAAUGUGAACGAGUGGUUAAACGUUGGUUAAAUACAUGCAUCAUGUCUGAACAUUGUGAGAGAUUAGAAAGAGAGAGAGAGUGAGAGAGUGAAAGAGAGAGAGAGAGAGUGUACACAUGCAACACAUACACAGAAAUUACACGCCUAAAAUGUUACAUAUCGGUGUUACAACGUAUAAAUAUAAACUAUAUUAUUAUAAAUAUACAGACUAUGUAAAACACAGAUACACAUAAAGUUUGUCUUUAUAUGUCUAUAAAUAUUGUUAUAUAUAUACAUAUAUAUAUAUAUAUGGUCAUUAUAUUAUAAUUAUUACGUGUAUGUGUUAUGAAACAUCUUGUCUCGCAAUGAUCCGCGAUACGGGCAUCUACCCAGAUUCUAAUGUCUAUAUGUCAUUGUUUAUUAUGUCGUUAAUAAUUAACGUGUAUAUGUGAAACUUUCAAAACAAAUAAAAAAAUACCUAAGCAUGUA